Molecule: ribosomal RNA, 59 nt
Filed under: Macroditassa melantha
Lineage: Eukaryota; Viridiplantae; Streptophyta; Magnoliopsida; Gentianales; Apocynaceae
Description: partial 26S ribosomal RNA
Source: RNAcentral
CCCCAGGUCAGGCGGGGCUACCCGCUGAGUUUAAGCAUAUCAAUAAGCGGAGUAAAAAA